GUGAAAAGAUGGAGCAACAUUUCAUAGCAACACCUAAACUAGUCGUCCAUCUCUAUGUCACAAACUCAAAAUCAAUGGAAAUAAUACAACAUGAUUACACAAGAUGCAUUAACAUUCACAAACAAAAACGAUACUGAAUGGGCUCCGAUGUUUCUAGAAAUAAUUUUCUAAAAUAUGGACCUAUCAGACAUGAAAAAUAUUAGCAAGAAGCAUGCACACGCCCUGAAAAGAGGAAACGAAUUACAAAAAUUCAACCACUAGAGUUGGUGUGGUGGUUCAGCACCUCAUCCCUUAAGCAAGAGGUUGGAGGUUCGAUUCCCAUCUCUGGUGAAUGGAGUUCCCUACCGCUUAGUGCGCUGACCGAGGAACGGAGGAUUAGUCUCAUGGCUGUCGGCUGUAGGGAUACCUUGGAAAACCAAAAAAAAAAUUACUAAAAUUCAUGGUUCUAGAGGUACAUUUCAUAUCUUAUAGAUCUAGAUACAUGCAUAUGCAUGUGGAUAAUUUCUAUCACUACGUAUGUACAAUUAAUAAUGGCUAUCAACUUGUUUCUCUCCGCCACUAACUUCGUAGCAGAUAUACCGUCACCAGGCAAGAAAUGUGAUUCACAAUAUAUAUUUAUUAUCCUCUUUUAAAAUAUUUUUUCAAACAAAAAAUUGAUAGAUAAUUAGAGCUGUAUCUUAACUUAGAUGAGAUAAAUCCAAUUUCCGAAAUAAUAAUCACCCCAUAUAUAUUAGUAAAUAUGACAUAUCAAUAAGCAAACGAGUUACGGUGUAAUCUUUGAUUAAUUUAUAAGCUGUUUUUUUCACACCAUCAAAGUAGAAUAACCUCUUUAAAUUGAAUUUGUAUUUAUUAGACUAAAAAUAACUAAAAUGUAGAAUAGAAAACUUCCAUUUAUUGUUGGAAGGUUAUAAGUUUUUCGGCAUGCAAUUGUAACAUUUCACUUGUAUGACUAGGGGUGAAAGCUCUUGAUUUUUAUUUUUAUUUUUGUUUUAAAUUAUAACUACGUGAAUUUGAUUUAAAAAAAUCAAAGUUAUAUAACCAUUCAUGACAUGGACGACAAUGUUGGAGAAGAUUAAUUAAUAUCAACUUAAUUAACAUUAUGAGCAAGGCAUGCAUGUGGACCUCUGAUAAUUGCUUACAUAUAAGUUUGUCUUUUCAUAUAUAUAUGAUUGGUAGUUGAGGCAUGGGAGAAAAAAAAGGAAAAUGAGAGGUGAAAAUUGAAUCGUGCAUCUUAGGGUAUGUUCAUAUCUUAACUAACUUUCACCAAUUUUCCCCUAUGCAUCAAACAAAAUGUGAUUAUUGCAUCAAUAUUGCAUUAUACUAUGAGACUUUUUGUAGGCAUUUCCUCUAACCCUGCCACAAAUAAGGCAAGGUUUUAGGUCUUCUUUUCCCUUUGUCUCUCCUCCAUAUACCUUUAAACUUUCAAUGUUACAAGUUCUUCAAGUGAAUAAAAAGAGCUUCUUAAUCCAUACAACAACGGCUAUAACUACGCCUCCGUUCCAAACAUAAUGGGAUUGGCUAUAUAAGUCCUCACUGAUCACGAGGAUAUCUUGUUGUUAGGCGCAAUGGCGGUGAUUCCCGGACAAUACUAAUAAAAUUGUGUCAAUUGUAUUGCCAAUUUCUUCUCCAUGAUGACAACCAAGAAUGAGAAGAAAGGCAAUAUUUUGAUGCAAAAAUAUGAGAUUGGGAAAUUGCUUGGGCAAGGGACAUUUGCCAAGGUCUACCAUGCAAGAAAUCUAAAAACAGGACUAAGUGUUGCCAUUAAGGUGAUUGACAAAGAGAAGGUGAUGAAGGUUGGUCUAAUUGAUCAAACCAAACGUGAAAUCUCUGUCAUGAGGCUAAUCAAACACCCAAAUGUUGUCCAACUCUAUGAGGUUAUGGCUAGCAAAUCAAAAAUCUAUUUUGCCAUGGAAUAUGUUAGAGGUGGUGAGCUUUUCAACAAGGUUGCUAAAGGCAGGCUUAAAGAAGAUGCUGCAAGGAAAUACUUCCAACAAUUAAUUGCUGCAGUCGAUUUUUGCCAUAGCCGUCAGGUCUACCAUCGCGAUCUCAAGCCCGAAAAUCUCCUCCUCGACGAAGGUGGUGAUAAAUUUUUGUGACCAUUUCCUCUAAAAACUUUAGUAUUUACUUAUUAUUAUGUCUUAAUACAGCACGUACUUAAUUAUGUUUUCUUCAGGUGGCAACCUAAAAGUGACCGAUUUCGGGCUUAGUGCAUUGUUUGAUUCCAAAAGGCAAGAUGGUCUCCUCCACACAACAUGUGGAACACCAGCCUAUGUUGCACCAGAGGUGAUCAACAAGAGAGGUUAUGAUGGUGAAAAGGCUGAUAUUUGGUCAUGUGGUGUUGUUUUAUUUGUCCUGUUAGCAGGUUUUUUGCCAUUCCAUGACCAAAACCUUAUGGAGAUGUACAAAAAAAUAAGCAAAGGGGAGUUCAAAUGUCCACAAUGGUUCCCUCCUGAGGUAAGAAAGCUCCUCUCAAGGAUUCUUGAUCCAAAUCCAGGCUCAAGAAUCACCUUAGUUAAGCUCAUGGAGAAUUAUUGGUUCAAGAAAGGUUUCAAACAAAUUGAUAAAACCCAAAAUCCAGGGAAAGAACUACGCGCAUCGCCUUGCAGUGUUUUAGAUAUUCAUGAGGACCAUAAUUCAGAUGGAGAGGGAUCUUCCAACCCCAAGAAAGAUCAAAGCUCAACAAUAACAAUGAAGCCUACUUGCUUAAAUGCAUUUGACAUCAUUUCUCUUUCUCCUGGUUUCGAUCUUUCUGGAUUGUUCGAAGAGGAGAAAGAGAGAAGAUCAGAGGCGCGAUUCACCGCGAAAAAGCCAGCAUCUAUAAUAGUGUCAAAAUUGGAGGAAGUGGCAUCAAAUGAGAGUUUUAAUGUGAAGAAAAAAGAUGGGACAGUGACAAUGCAAAGUAUUAAACAAGGGAGAAAAGGGCAACUAGCAAUUGAUGCUGAGAUUUUCGAAAUUACGCCUUCUUUUCAUGUUGUGGAAGUGAGUAAAAAAUCAGGAGACACAAUGGAAUACAAGCAAUUCUUUGAUCAAGGCUUGAAGACUUCACUUAAAGAUAUUGUUUGGACAUGGCAAGGUGGUGACCAGCAAGUUGAAAAUCAAGAAUGAAAUUGAUCAUCUUUUUUUUGUAUGUUAUAAUUAAAAUUUUCAUUUCUUUCUUGUCUGUAUUUUUAUUUUUGGGAGAGGGGUUAUUGGAAAUUGCUUGCAUACCUAUCUUGUAU
RNAcentral lists this long non-coding RNA (3218 nucleotides) under Capsicum annuum. RNAcentral describes it as "long non-coding RNA (CANN_LNC003384)". The record is from RNAcentral. Lineage: Eukaryota; Viridiplantae; Streptophyta; Magnoliopsida; Solanales; Solanaceae.